Molecule: non-coding RNA, 114 nt
Filed under: Madagascaria erythrocladioides
Lineage: Eukaryota; Rhodophyta; Compsopogonophyceae; Erythropeltidales; Erythrotrichiaceae
Source: RNAcentral
AAAAAAAAAAAAAAAAAAAAAAAGUGUAUUGUGGGUAAUAUUUUCUCCAGUCUUGUUCCUUCCAGGGUUGUCUGGACAUGGCUUUGAGAGUUUUUUUUUUGUUGUUGGCGUUUC